UAAAAACCUCAGUUUCUCAUCUUCUUCCUCUCUUUUGUUCGGUUCCAGGCCUUCUUCCUCAAAAUAAUUUCGGUUUCUUCUCCUUCCCAAGCUCUACCCAUUCAAGAGUUCUUCCGGCUCAAGACUUCCAACUGAAAUCAAAGUCCUCUUUAAAUUCCCCUCUCCUCCUUCUUCUUCUCUUCCAAUUUGGACUUGAACAAAAGGGCAGACCUAGGGUUUCGGCUGAUCUUGACUUGGGCUCGAGCAUUUGGGGAUUCAAUUCCUCUUCGAAUUUCAGGUGGUCUUGCUAUCUCCUUAGUGAUGAUGGAUAUGUAUUUCUUCCUACUACACACCGUAUCUUCUUAAGACCUUGCUCAGAGAUGGCAUCAUAUUAUAUGCCUGGUAUGACCUUCUCAGCUCAAUAAUGGAACCAACAAUGAUAAGCACUGAUGUGAAUCCAAGUGCAAAUCCCUUAUUGAUACGCCUUAAAUAGUGAUCAAACAAGGUUGAAGAGGUAGCCAAUAUACUUAACAGUAGUCCUCCCCAGAAACGUGUUGAGGCUUGAAUCUUUGUAUGUAAUUCGAACUCGAAUUUUUAUGUGGCCGAGAAUUGGCUUGAAUUUGCACUUGCAUAUGGUUUGAACUCUUGUAUAUAAUUCAAAUUCGAAUUUGUAUAUAAUUGAGCUCUUGUAUUAUUGAAUUCAUAUGUAACUGAACUCGUGUGUGCCUUGAAUCCAAACUUGUGUAUGACUAAAGAACCUUAUAUGCCUUGAAUUCGAGCUAUUCUUGUACAUGAUUGA
Molecule: long non-coding RNA, 778 nt
Organism: Asparagus officinalis (garden asparagus)
Lineage: Eukaryota; Viridiplantae; Streptophyta; Magnoliopsida; Asparagales; Asparagaceae
Exons: 2
Source: RefSeq, a predicted model, not a curated record